CGCGUAGGUGGUUUUGUAAGUCGGGUGUGAAAGCCCCGGGCUCAACCUGGGAACUGCAUUCGAGACUGCAUUACUCGAGUAUGGGAGAGGGCAGUGGAAUUUCCGGUGUAGCGGUGAAAUGCGUAGAUAUCGGAAGGAACAUCAGUGGCGAAAGCGACUGCCUGGCCCAAUACUGACACUCAUGUGCGAAAGCGUGGGGAGCAAACAGGAUUAGAUACCCUGGUAGUCCACGCCAUAAACGAUGACAACUAGAUGUCGGGAGGGUUAGCCUCUUGGUGUCGCAGCUAACGCGUUAAGUUGUCCGCCUGGGGAGUACGGCCGCAAGGUUGAA
Molecule: ribosomal RNA, 331 nt
Filed under: uncultured Pseudomonas sp.
Lineage: Bacteria; Pseudomonadati; Pseudomonadota; Gammaproteobacteria; Pseudomonadales; Pseudomonadaceae
Description: bacterial SSU rRNA
Rfam family: Bacterial small subunit ribosomal RNA
Source: RNAcentral